AAUAAAGUUUUCUUUAUUGGGGUUGCGGACAUAUCAUAACGAAGAGGUAUCGUAAUUGAAGAGGUUUGGAAAGACCCACCACAGAAGGUAAUAGUCCUGUAUGUUAAACGAGAAGACUUUAGAUAUGAUCCAGAGUACCACGGGACACGUGAAACCCUGUGGGAAGCAGGAGGGACCACCCUCCAAGGCUAAAUACUACCUAGUGACCGAUAGCGUAUAGUACCGUGAGGGAAAGGUGAAAAGAACCCCGGGAGGGGAGGGAAAUAGAACCUGAAACCCUGCACUUACAAGCUGUGGAAGCACAUUUCUUGUGUGACCGCGUACUUUUUGUAGAACGGGCCAACGAGUUACGGUAAGUAGCAAGGUUAAGCACUUAAGGUGCGGAGCCGUAGCGAAAGCGAGUUUUAACUGAGCGUUCAGUUACUUGACGUAGACCCGAAACCGGGCGACCUACCCAUGAGCAGGAUGAAGCGAAAGUAAAAUUUCGUGGAGGUCCGAACCCACGAGCG
RNAcentral lists this ribosomal RNA (509 nucleotides) under Clostridioides difficile. RNAcentral's name for it is "bacterial LSU rRNA". It matches the Rfam family "Bacterial large subunit ribosomal RNA", at positions 276 to 788 of the family's 2925-position model. The record is from RNAcentral. Lineage: Bacteria; Bacillati; Bacillota; Clostridia; Peptostreptococcales; Peptostreptococcaceae.